RNAcentral lists this transfer-messenger RNA (346 nucleotides) under bovine gut metagenome. It matches the Rfam family "transfer-messenger RNA". From Rfam's summary of the family: Bacterial tmRNA, also known as 10Sa RNA or SsrA, is named for its dual tRNA and mRNA-like properties. Its role is to liberate the mRNA from a stalled ribosome. To accomplish this part of the tmRNA is used as a reading frame that ends in a translation stop signal. The record is from RNAcentral.
GGGGGCGUAAAGGUUUCGACGGGGGCUGGGAAGUUCAGUCGGCGAGCCGGGGCGCACUGCCCGAAAACGGUGCAAUUAUAAAUUUAAACGCGAAUAACGAUUCCGUUCUGAUGGCCGCUUAAGGCCGUCCGUCUGCCCGGAUGAUACCAUGGCUCCGGUGUCAGGCGUCAUGACAUGGUGAACGCCCGCUGCCCAUGUGCAUAAGCGGCGGGGGUAUGAUGCACUACCAAUUUGUAAAGCCUGUUUGCCGGCGGUGCAAUGCGGGAAUGUAAAAGACAAACUAUGCUCGUAGAUGACCGGAUGGAUCGGUUUUCGGACAGGAGUUCAAUUCUCCUCGCCUCCACCA